AGCGGAGGGCAUCUAGCGCGCACGCGCCUUAACUGUCGCGAUGCUUAAAAGGAGGCUGUUGUUUCGGAAGGGGGAGGGCGGGGGGAGUCCGAGCGACGCCGAACAGGAAGAGCCAAGCGCGCCUACAGGAUAUAUGUGCUUGCUACUCUUGAGUUUGAAGAUGGGCAGUGGAAGUGGCACGUGCUUCUGCUAAAAGUGUGUUAACAGGGUAGUCAUGAAAUUUUUGUUCUCAACAGUGUUACAGCAAUGAAAACAUAAAUAACUUUAGUGCCUGAAACAAAGCUAUUAUAAGUUGUAAAUAUUACAAGUGAAUGCAGUUUAAAUAAUUUAAAUUAAUGUAUAAGAUUUGUUUGCUUUGUAAAGCACUUUAAAUGCUGUGGAGUAAACUGAGGAAAGUUCCUCCUCAGUUUGUAUUUUUAUGUGUAUAUAUUGCCUUAUGUUGUGGUUUUGAUACAAUAAAAUUAAAAUGGUUUACAAUUA
Podarcis raffonei (Aeolian wall lizard) is the source of this 480-nucleotide long non-coding RNA. RefSeq lists it as uncharacterized. The transcript has 2 exons. The record is from RefSeq and is a predicted model, not a curated record. Lineage: Eukaryota; Metazoa; Chordata; Lepidosauria; Squamata; Lacertidae.